Non-coding RNA from Camelina sativa (false flax), 156 nucleotides. NCBI's taxonomy places the organism in Eukaryota, Viridiplantae, Streptophyta, Magnoliopsida, Brassicales, Brassicaceae. The record is from RefSeq and is a predicted model, not a curated record.
UCUUCAGUGCUCUCCUCCUCGCUCACAUUCUGUUUCAGCUCGCCAUCCGCGGAUUGAUGGGAAAGAGUUCUUUAGACAAGCCAGGAGCCGUCUGUCUUACCAACAGUUCCGUGCAUUUCUGGCUAACAUCAAGGAACUAAACGCUAGGAAGCAGAG